GUCUAUGGCCAUGCCACCCUGAACAAGCCCGAUCCUUUCUGAUCUUGGAAGCUAAGCAGGGUCGGGCCUGGUUAGUACUUGUGCUAACCUAGUACCUAGGAAGACCAGGUGCUGUAGGUA
This is a ribosomal RNA of Pteropus vampyrus (large flying fox), 120 nucleotides long. NCBI's taxonomy places the organism in Eukaryota, Metazoa, Chordata, Mammalia, Chiroptera, Pteropodidae. The record is from Ensembl.